RNAcentral lists this ribosomal RNA (466 nucleotides) under uncultured bacterium. RNAcentral describes it as "partial 16S ribosomal RNA". It matches the Rfam family "Bacterial small subunit ribosomal RNA", at positions 28 to 507 of the family's 1533-position model. The record is from RNAcentral.
GAUGAACGCUGGCGGCGUGCUUAACACAUGCAAGUCGAACGAUGAAGCCCAGCUUGCUGGGUGGAUUAGUGGCGAACGGGUGAGUAACACGUGAGUAACCUGCCCUUAACUCUGGGAUAAGCCUGGGAAACUGGGUCUAAUACCGGAGAGGAGCGUCCACCGCAUGGUGGGUGUUGGAAAGAUUUAUCGGUUUUGGAUGGACUCGCGGCCUAUCAGCUUGUUGGUGAGGUAGUGGCUCACCAAGGCGACGACGGGUAGCCGGCCUGAGAGGGUGACCGGCCACACUGGGACUGAGACACGGCCCAGACUCCUACGGGAGGCAGCAGUGGGGAAUAUUGCACAAUGGGCGCAAGCCUGAUGCAGCGACGCCGCGUGCGGGAUGACGGCCUUCGGGUUGUAAACCUCUUUCAGUAGGGAAGAAGCGAAAGUGACGGUACCUGCAGAAGAAGCACCGGCUAACUACGUG